UGCAAUUAUCUCUGUUGCAGAGUGUGCAGGCAUAAUUCUUUUUCGGAAAAGAAUGUUGGAAGGGCUAGUGAAAUUAUUAUUUGUUCCAAAAAUAGAAUUGUUAGUGUAUUAGGAUGUGGCUUGUACUAGUUAUAUCUCUCUUGCCUGAGUUUACAGGUGGGAUUUCCCCCCCUUACGUUGUAAGAAGUAUAGCAGAUUCAGAUCCUCUUUCUAAUGGAACGAUCUGUUAUUUUCUUUUUUCUAUUUAACUUUUAAAAAUUUUAUCUUCCAAACGGGUUGGAGGAUUCGGGCUAACAGAGAUGUUCUAAAUGCUGACUUGUUUGUUUGACUCAUUUAUCAUCAAUUAUCAGUCAACUUAACCAACUACCGUGUAAAAUAAAUAGGAUUAUCAGUGAAACCGCAAUUUGAGACUAGGAGAAUGCUUGAGCAAUAUCUUCAUAACUGGCAUGAAUUCUUGAUGAAGCCCCACAGUCAGUUACCAUAAGUAACUCUCCGCAUAAUCAGACUCUAGAUUUCGCAAAGCAAUCUAGAAGUAGCGUCACCAGCAAUACUAACAAUCUGCUAAAUGGUACGAAAUCACACUUGAGCCCCCAACCAGCUAUACUGACAAGUCUUGAUACUUACUACGAAUCGAAGCUCAAAUUCAUCUCUUAACUUCCAAACUAUUCAACUUUGCUAAACAUUUUCCAAUCAUGCCCAAGUCCAACUUUCGGCAAAUAGAGUCAAAACCUUUUAAGAACUUCUAAAUCCAAAUUCGAACAUGCACUUAAGUUCAAAAUCACCGUAGAAUUUAUUGAAACCAUCAAAUCAUC
Molecule: long non-coding RNA, 812 nt
Filed under: Nicotiana benthamiana
Lineage: Eukaryota; Viridiplantae; Streptophyta; Magnoliopsida; Solanales; Solanaceae
Description: long non-coding RNA (NBEN_LNC002992)
Source: RNAcentral